This 944-nucleotide ribosomal RNA is filed under the name uncultured organism. Its description in RNAcentral is "bacterial SSU rRNA". It matches the Rfam family "Bacterial small subunit ribosomal RNA", at positions 469 to 1411 of the family's 1533-position model. The record is from RNAcentral.
UUGACGGUACCCUACUAGAAAGGAGCCGCUAACUUCGUGCCAGAAGCGUCGGUAAUACGGGGGCUCCAAGCGUUAUCCGGUGUUAUUGGGCGUAAAGAGUCGUGUAGGUGGUUGGGUAAGUUAUCUUUCAAAUAUCUUUGCUUAACAAAGAGGAGGGGGAUAAUACUGCUCGACUAGAAUUUUCUCAAGGGAGAUCGGAACUGAGGGAGGAGUAGUGAAAUGCGUUGAUACCCUCGGGAACACCAGUGGCGUAGGCGGAUCUCUGGGAGAAGAUUGACACUGAGACACGAAAGCUAGGGGAGCGAAGCAGAUUAGAGACCUGCGUAGUCCUAGCCGUAAACGCAUGCUUGCUAGCUGCAUGAAUCUACCUUCGGGUGGUAUCGUGUGGCGAAGGUAACCCGUUAAGCAAGCCGCCUGGAAAGUACGGCCGCAAGGCUGAAAUUCAAAGGAAUUGGCGGGGAGGCACACAACCAGUGGAACAUGUGGUUUAAUUCGAGACUAACCGAAGAACCUCACCAGGGUUUGACAUGUAGCUGCACGUCUUAAGAAAUUAAGACUCUCUUGAAGGUGCUACACAGGUGCUGCAUGGCUGUCGUCAGCUCGUUCCGUGAGGAGUGCCCUUAAGUGGGACAACGAGCGCAACCCCUAUUACAUGUUAGAAAUGUCAUGUAAGACUGCCUUGCCAUUUGGCGGGGAGGAAGGAGGGGCAGACGUCAAGUCCGCAUGGUCCUUAUGCCCUGGGCUACACACAUGUUACAAUGAGUACGGCAAUGAGUCUGUCGCGAGCACGUAAGUGUAAGCUAAUCCCUUAAAUGUACUCUCAGUGGGGAUUGAGGUCUGCAACUCGACCUCAUGAACACGGAAUUGGUAGUAAUCGCGGGUCAGCUAUACCGCGGUGAUACGUUCUUGCCUCUUGCACACACCGCCCGUCAAACCAGCAAAGU